This 814-nucleotide ribosomal RNA is filed under the name Acinetobacter sp. 1294596. RNAcentral's name for it is "bacterial SSU rRNA". It matches the Rfam family "Bacterial small subunit ribosomal RNA", at positions 91 to 900 of the family's 1533-position model. The record is from RNAcentral. Lineage: Bacteria; Pseudomonadati; Pseudomonadota; Gammaproteobacteria; Moraxellales; Moraxellaceae.
CCUAGCGGCGGACGGGUGAGUAAUGCUUAGGAAUCUGCCUAUUAGUGGGGGACAACAUCUCGAAAGGGAUGCUAAUACCGCAUACGUCCUACGGGAGAAAGCAGGGGAUCUUCGGACCUUGCGCUAAUAGAUGAGCCUAAGUCGGAUUAGCUAGUUGGUGGGGUAAAGGCCUACCAAGGCGACGAUCUGUAGCGGGUCUGAGAGGAUGAUCCGCCACACUGGGACUGAGACACGGCCCAGACUCCUACGGGAGGCAGCAGUGGGGAAUAUUGGACAAUGGGGGGAACCCUGAUCCAGCCAUGCCGCGUGUGUGAAGAAGGCCUUAUGGUUGUAAAGCACUUUAAGCGAGGAGGAGGCUACUUUAGUUAAUACCUAGAGAUAGUGGACGUUACUCGCAGAAUAAGCACCGGCUAACUCUGUGCCAGCAGCCGCGGUAAUACAGAGGGUGCGAGCGUUAAUCGGAUUUACUGGGCGUAAAGCGUGCGUAGGCGGCUUAUUAAGUCGGAUGUGAAAUCCCCGAGCUUAACUUGGGAAUUGCAUUCGAUACUGGUGAGCUAGAGUAUGGGAGAGGAUGGUAGAAUUCCAGGUGUAGCGGUGAAAUGCGUAGAGAUCUGGAGGAAUACCGAUGGCGAAGGCAGCCAUCUGGCCUAAUACUGACGCUGAGGUACGAAAGCAUGGGGAGCAAACAGGAUUAGAUACCCUGGUAGUCCAUGCCGUAAACGAUGUCUACUAGCCGUUGGGGCCUUUGAGGCUUUAGUGGCGCAGCUAACGCGAUAAGUAGACCGCCUGGGGAGUACGGUCGCAAGACUAAAAC